This 218-nucleotide long non-coding RNA is filed under the name Elaeis guineensis (African oil palm). RNAcentral's name for it is "long non-coding RNA (EGUI_LNC031569)". Lineage: Eukaryota; Viridiplantae; Streptophyta; Magnoliopsida; Arecales; Arecaceae. The record is from RNAcentral.
CCUUGUUCUUAAUAACAAUUUUAUGUGGGUAAUUAUUUUUGUCAUCCUUGAAAACUUUGUAAUGUAAUCUUACAUGACAUGGGUUGCUUAUGAUGUAUGUAUUCUUGUUAUUUUUUAGUUGAUAUAUCAAAAAUACAAGAAAGUAUCUAAUCUCUCCAUAUUUUUGUGGUUCAUAUCUGCACAGAUGAUCCAAGUCCACCCAAAAACUACUUUAGAGG